AAGCAAAGCAGCGAUGUGGAGCAAACCCCUAAAAACGUUCUCAGUUCAGAUUGCAGGCUGCAACCCGCCUGCAUGAAGUCGGAAUUGCUAGUAAUCGCGGAUCAGCAUGCCGCGGUGAAUACGUUCCCGGGGCCUUGUACACACCGCCCGUCACACCAUGGGAGCCGGUAAUACCCGAAGUCAGUAGUCCAACCACGUGGGGACGCUGCCGGAGGUAGGAUUGGCGACUGGGGUGAAGUCGUAACAAGGUAGC
This 253-nucleotide ribosomal RNA is filed under the name uncultured bacterium. Its description in RNAcentral is "partial 16S ribosomal RNA". It matches the Rfam family "Bacterial small subunit ribosomal RNA", at positions 1247 to 1500 of the family's 1533-position model. The record is from RNAcentral.